Molecule: non-coding RNA, 1034 nt
Organism: Hydra vulgaris (swiftwater hydra)
Lineage: Eukaryota; Metazoa; Cnidaria; Hydrozoa; Anthoathecata; Hydridae
Source: RefSeq, a predicted model, not a curated record
AGUGGUUUUUUUAGAGUAAUAUACUAAAGUUAAAAAAGCUGACAGUAAAAAAUAAGAUGAUUUGUUUCAAGAAAGUGAGUGGCUUAGUUCAAAGUGUUAUUACCGAAUAUUUAGCAUUAUGAAACCUAUAGUAUUAUAUAGCAUAUUGUAUACCUAUUUUACUUAUAAAAUUAAUAAUCUUUAUAGUAAUUUUUAAAAUUUUUAAAUUGUAAAAAUGCUUCAUGAGAAAACAAUUUCUUAGAUGAAAUUCAAAUUUUCUCUAUGCUUGUAUUCUGUAAGUCCAACGAGAUUCAUUUUAAGACACAUCAAUCUUCAUAACCUUUAAAUAAAAAGGAUAAAUAUGAUGGAUUUCCAUUAUCUCAAGCAAUUUUAUAACAAAUUCACUCAUGGCCAAAUUUGAAAUGGCAGCUAGAAAAGGCAAAAGAUCUUUUCAGUCUAACCAAGCUAUACAACUUAAUAAAAGAAUGAAAAAAAUAAUAAAUUUAAAAAAAUAAAAAAAUCAACGAAAAUUGAAAAACAGAGAAGCAAACGCGGAAAACACCGUUAUGGAAUGAUGAGUCAACGAUAUCAUCAAUUAAAGCUGUUAAAAAUGUAAAACUUUUUACAAUCCAAGAUGCUCGUUACAAGUUCGACUUUCUGGAAUAACUGAAAUGGGAGCCAAACCUGGAUAUCCAACUAUUUUAGAUGAAGAAGAAAAAAAAAUAUUAAGCGAUUUUGCAUAUAAUCGUGCAGCUUCAGGAAUCGGAUUUGGUCGAUCGCAAUUCUAAAAUAUUCUGAAAAUUAUGCUUUAAACAUAAAAAAUCAUUCGAAAUUGGAACUCCUAAGAAAAAUUGGUGGCGUGGGAUCUGAUCAAUGCACAAAAUUUUUUUUUUACGUCAACCAGAAGUGCUCCAAGUAUACGCAGAAGAGGCUCACAAGGUACAGUUCUGUCAGCUCCAAAUACUGUUCUCCACGCGUGUUUUUGUUUGCAGUACAAUUUUUUAAAUUUUGUAUGGUUUGUACUUGUGCAAUAAAUUAAGUAACAAUGAAUAAAA